Molecule: transfer RNA, 71 nt
Filed under: Rikenellaceae bacterium
Lineage: Bacteria; Pseudomonadati; Bacteroidota; Bacteroidia; Bacteroidales; Rikenellaceae
Description: tRNA-Gln
Rfam family: tRNA
About the family: Transfer RNA (tRNA) molecules are approximately 80 nucleotides in length. Their secondary structure includes four short double-helical elements and three loops (D, anti-codon, and T loops).
Source: RNAcentral
UGACCCGUGGUGUAAUGGCAACACUGCAGAUUCUGGAUCUGCCUUUCUUGGUUCGAAUCCAGGCGGGUCAA